This 790-nucleotide ribosomal RNA is filed under the name Gibellula sp. Its description in RNAcentral is "partial large subunit ribosomal RNA". It matches the Rfam family "Eukaryotic large subunit ribosomal RNA", at positions 87 to 898 of the family's 3401-position model. The record is from RNAcentral. Lineage: Eukaryota; Fungi; Ascomycota; Sordariomycetes; Hypocreales; Cordycipitaceae.
CGGCGAGUGAAGCGGCAGCAGCUCAAAUUUGAAAUCUGGCACCCCCCGCGGGGGCCCGAGUUGUGUUCUGCAGAGGACGCUCCGGGCGCGGCGCCUUCCGAGUUCCCUGGAACGGGACGCCGCAGAGGGUGAGAGCCCCGUACGGUCGGACGCCGUGCCCGUGUGGAGCUCCCUCGACGAGUCGAGUAGUUUGGGAAUGCUGCUCAAAGCGGGAGGUAUAUGUCUUCUAAAGCUAAAUACAGGCCGGAGACCGAUAGCGCACAAGUAGAGUGAUCGAAAGAUGAAAAGCACUUUGGAAAGAGGGUUAAAUAGCACGUGAAAUUGCUGAAAGGGAAGCGCCCGCGACCAGACUCGGGCCCGGCAGGCCACCCGCCGUCCUCGGCGGGGCACCCUGCCGGGCGCGGGCCAGCAUCGGCGCGCGGCGGGGGACAAAGGCGGCGGGAACGUGGCCCCCCUCGGGGGGUGUUAUAGCCCGCCGCGCAACGCCCCGCGGCGCGCCGAGGCACGCGCACCGCAAGGAUGCUGGCGUAAUGGUCGUCGGCGACCCGUCUUGAAACACGGACCAAGGAGUCGUCCUCGCACGCGAGUGUUGGGGUGCCAAACCCCCACGCGCAGUGAAAGCGAACGCUGGUGGGAGCCUCCGGGCGCACCGCCGACCGAUCCUGAUGUGCUCGGAUGGAUUUGAGUAGGAGCGUGCGGGGCCGGACCCGAAAGAAGGUGAACUAUGCCUGCGUAGGGUGAAGCCAGAGGAAACUCUGGUGGAGGCUCGCAGCGGUUCUGACGUGCGAAU